AUUGAACGCUGGCGGCAUGCUUUACACAUGCCAGUCGAACGGUAACAGGCCGCAAGGUGCUGACGAGUGGCGAACGGGUGAGUAAUGCAUCGGAACGUGCCCAGUCGUGGGGGAUAACUACUCGAAAGAGUAGCUAAUACCGCAUACGAUCUAUGGAUGAAAGCGGGGGACCGUAAGGCCUCGCGCGAUUGGAGCGGCCGAUGUCAGAUUAGGUAGUUGGUGGGGUAAAGGCUCACCAAGCCAACGAUCUGUAGCUGGUCUGAGAGGACAACCAGCCACACUGGGACUGAGACACGGCCCAGACUCCUACGGGGGGCAGCAGUGGGGAAUUUUGGACAAUGGGCGCAAGCCUGAUCCAGCAAUGCCGCGUGCAGGAAGAAGGCCUUCGGGUUGUAAACUGCUUUUGUACGGAACGAAACGGCUCUGGUUAAUACCCGGGGCUAAUGACGGUACCGUAAGAAUAAGCACCGGCUAACUACGUG
This 482-nucleotide ribosomal RNA is filed under the name uncultured bacterium. RNAcentral's name for it is "partial 16S ribosomal RNA". It matches the Rfam family "Bacterial small subunit ribosomal RNA", at positions 30 to 507 of the family's 1533-position model. The record is from RNAcentral.